Molecule: long non-coding RNA, 2636 nt
Organism: Gopherus agassizii (Agassiz's desert tortoise)
Lineage: Eukaryota; Metazoa; Chordata; Testudines; Testudinidae
Source: Ensembl
CCCGCGCUGGUCUCAGCGGGGGUUUGCCAGCGGCUGGCGGCCUCUGGGCCCCAGGACUUUAGAUGAGAGAUGUCGUGUGCUUUUGUGGGGGUGUGUCCCUGCCCAAAAACACUUCUGCACCGACAGUGCUGCCCGAAAGGCCACGUUAGGGUCCCCACCCUGCAAAGCCUCAGCACUUGCUUACUUUUAAGCGCACGGAUAGUCACUCAGUGUGUCAUUAAAAUUAAGCGUGUGCAAAAGUGCUUGCAAGAUACUUGCUACUAGGGUGACCAGAUGAUGGUUUUAUAGGGACGGUCACAAUUUUGGGGGCUUUUUCUUAUAUAGGUACCUAUUAUCCCCCACCCCCUAUCCUGAUUUUUCACGUUUGCUACCUCGUCACACUACUUGCUACUGCUAGUUGUAUUUUACAGCUAUGUACUUUUUAAAAUCAGGAUUAAUAUUUUUUUAGUCGCUCGAUAGCAACCACUAAAAAGAAAAUAAUUCUACCCUGGAAAGGUAAAUAUAAACUGGCCAUUUCAACAUUUUUAAGCCCUCUUUAAAAAUGGUUCUGCACUUGGUAAAGAAGGAACUUUCUGUUUUUUUGAUUGGUUGGAUUGGUUUGCUGUUGGUUGUUUGGUUUUUUUGUUUUUUAAAUCAAGGAUCAUUUUUUUUAGUGGUGCCUAGUCCUGAAUUAUUUGUGCACAGAAAACUCCAACUUCUGCUCCAUUGACUGAUGGUGAUUUUAGGUGCUCAAGGCAAACAAGAUCAGAACCUUUUGUCUGAAAAUGGUAGCNUUUAGGUGCUCAAGGCAAACAAGAUCAGAACCUUUUGUCUGAAAAUGGUAGCAGUGGGAUUUGUUGAAGAGUUGAAGGAGCUUGCAAACUUGCCUAACUUUUUGUAGAAUACACCUGUUGGAUGACUAAAUGGCUCCAAAAGGCAAAAUAAAAAAAAAGAAAUACAAGUGCUGCCCUUGUUUGUCAUCACCAUCUUUGCAGGAAGAUGCCGCUGGAGAGCAGCUGACACAGUUUGAAUCAGAUGAAGAAAUUAAACUUUUAUAUCAGUUUGGAAGCUAUCUUGAUUACAUAGAAACUCCCCGAAAAGAUCAUGGCAAAGUGAAAGGCAAAUCCAAAAAGCAUGGAAGAGAAUGGAAGACACAGGAAACCGAAAGGAAAAAUAAGCCUGAUCUUUGCAAUGGAAAGGAAAAUGUGGGUUUGUGUGAAGAAAACACUGCCAAUGACACUGAUCUUAAAAAGAAUAAAAUUCUUAAAAAGAACAAACAUGAUACUAAAGCAAAAAGUUAUUUGGAUUCAACAAAAAAAACCUUUUGCAAUAAGCAAAACUCCUUUGUCCCCUGGCCUUUUGUUGAAAAGAAAGCAAAGAAAAUAAAGCUACUUCAAGAUAACAAAGUAAUUGAUGGUAAUGAAGAGAGCUCUAAAGAGGUAAAUCACAAACAAUAUUAUAAAAAUUCUAGAAUAGUACAGAAGAGUAAUACUCAAGUCAAACAAAAACAUCUCUGCCUUCCCUCAUCACAUACUUCUUUUGUAACUGAGAAUGGUAAACAUAAUGAAUUAAGUUGUAGAAAUAGUUCUUGGUCUCAGACAACUUGCAAACGUGAAGGUCUUGAUUCUACUGUGCAUUAUUUUAGUGGUGGAAUCAUAGCAGGUUUUAAAAAGCGCAGGAAAUUGGAUAAGGAAGUCCCUGUUGGCUGUUUACUAGGCUCCAACACUACUGAAAUAAACAGCUGUACUAGUAGUACAGAGCCUCUUUUGUCAUCUAGUCCAGCAGCUCUGGAAAUUAAAACUUAUGACUCAGAAGAUGAAUUCAAUGUGGAAACCCUGAGGGAUAAGGCAGCUUCUCAUAUGAACUCAAAAACUGAAGCAAUAUGCAGCAGCACUGAUCUUAGUCAAGAGCUUUUUAUAACCCAGAAGUCUUUUUUACCAGUGCAGAUUCCCAGUAAUAGCAGUACUUGCUUAUCCCUCUACAGUCAAAACCAUGCUAAAGAUGCAAGUGUAGAAAGAAGGUUUAAACAAAAAAUCUCUGGAGAUACUUUGGAGUUUUCUCAGAUGUCUUCAAAUAGAGAAACAUGUGAUGAACACAGUCAGUUUUCUCAGAAUGGUUUGACACCAAGUAGGGGUAGAAAGUCAGCUACAAGAGAGUGUGCAAUUCAGACAGAAGACUUUUUCAGCUCUCCAGCACUUGCUUCCUCCUUAAGAAUGAGAGAGAGAUUUACAGAUUGCCGUGAACAACCACUGGACCUCAGUUUGCCUUACAGAAUUAGGUCAAGUGCUGAGAAUACAGGAAGACCAUCCUUGGGGGGUGCAGGUGAUGGUGUUCAUGUAUCUUGCAAACACACAUUAGAGCCUGUGUGUUAUAUGGAAAAUCAUCCUGCUGGUCCAGUGUUUGAGGAGGAAAGAGAAAAUCAUAUGUUCACUCAAUCUCAAAAAUCAGAUGAGGUGAAAUACAUUCAGAUGCUGCUUAAUUCAUCCUAUUUCUUUAAAGUGAAAGGUGAUUCAGAUAAUAUGGUUUCUAGAACACAGUUAGUGAAGCCAAAGAUAGGAAACAAAAAAAAAACAGUUGUAGACAGCAGAAGACAGGAGAAGUCCUAGCUGAGAAGGGAUUAGUCCUACACAUCUGAAUAAAUAGUGUGCCUAUAGACA